GAGUAUAAAAGUAAAUGCAUAAAGAUAAAUUGCAUAAAAGUAAAUGACUUAAAGUAAAGGCAUAAACGUAAAUGAUAAGAAACUAAAGUCAAUAAGUCAAUAAAUAACUGUUAGUAGUCAAUUGAUCACAUCGGGGUAAUUUAGCGUUAUGUUAAGCAAUCGUAAGUAUGCUUGUAUAGAAGCCAUACCUAUCUGAGAUCGGUCAAUAACAAUCUAUGUGUCAGACAUGU
RNAcentral lists this long non-coding RNA (230 nucleotides) under Lathyrus oleraceus (garden pea). RNAcentral describes it as "Pisum sativum (pea) long non-coding RNA (PSAT_LNC019133)". The record is from RNAcentral. Lineage: Eukaryota; Viridiplantae; Streptophyta; Magnoliopsida; Fabales; Fabaceae.